AAAAAAAAAUUCUAAAUAAAAAGAAAAAGGAAAAGAAAAAAUUUAAGCGAAAAAGUCUUUAAAAUGUAUAUAAAUAGGUCGGGGCACGUGCCGAUGCGUUCACCCUUGGCAAAGGAAGCAAACAUG
This 126-nucleotide ribosomal RNA is filed under the name Lotharella globosa. Its description in RNAcentral is "partial Trypanosomatid mitochondrial large subunit ribosomal RNA". Lineage: Eukaryota; Cercozoa; Chlorarachniophyceae. The record is from RNAcentral.